ACACGUUUGGCAUACGUACCUACAUCAAAUUACGAUAAUAAUCUAAAGUAAAAGUUGUUCCAGUACGGGAAGUGACCACUAAUUGUUUUAAUAUCGUUUGGACAAUGAAACCACAACCGUGUCUAAUAUUUUUUAGGGAAACAUGAAUUCGUUGUGCCCCUUUUGUUAUACUUCGUUGCGUGCAAAAUUGUAAACAUUCUUUGUGCUCAAUCUUUACUCCACGCCAAUUUGGGUUUCGGUCUGGUACGUGCGCUGCCGAGGGAAUUAUCUUGUUUCGAACAAUGCUCGUGAGCCACGCGAAAACAAUUUUUGUAUGUCACGACACUGAUAAAUUAUCGACAAUGUAAUAUGGUAAGGUAAUGAAAUCCCACUCAAAUGGUGAGCCUCAAGGAAGCAAUUUGGGACUACUGUUAUUUUAAGCAACGUGCAAUUGACAAUGAGGCUUUUUAACGAGGUGUGCGAAUUCGACGUUCACCAAUCAUAUCAUCCUAGGUUUCUUCUACUAUGAUAAAUGGUUUAUUCGCAGCAGUUUGACGUAUAUUUUCGUUAAGAUCACGUCCGUGGUUGUAAAAGAACUGGUAUUCGGGAAGGAGGAGACUCGUAAGAUCCUAAUGGAUCAAUUUGAUCUUUCUUUAAAUGGCUUUGAGAAAUAGUCAAUUUCCGGCAAAAGUGAGAAUGAUCGUAAUAAGACUGUAAAGACAACGAUGGUACGGCCCGUCGAAAAGGUUUGUGUAUCAAUUGCUGGACCUUGUUUAGGGUGCCACGAACACCCUUUCCUGGUUUGCUAGAAAGAAGGCUUCCACAAAACAACAUCGGUCAAAACAGUAAUAUAGGCGUCAUGCGUUCUUUUCCGAGCAAACUUAAAAUGGUAAAAUAAAAAGAUAUUCGCUCCCUUAAGAGAAAGGGGGAAAACCAAAAUAUUUGUCAAUUUGAGAAUGGCCAUAUAUUUUUUUAGUUAAAAGAGUUACAAAAAAUAUGUAUUACAUAAGUUUCUUAAUAAUAAUUGUCGAAUAAUUUACCGUUUGCACAGUAAGUAAGAUAAAAAGUUAUACGACCUAACCUCUUUUUUAGUGCGUUUUUGAAAAAAGUAGCGCUUAGGUAUAUAUUCACUUUGGCUGUUCGGUUGGUCGGCUGCAAAGGUUUUUUAAGUAUAACUCUCGAAAAAAUUAUCGUAGAAUGGUCGUGUUUGGAGCAUUAGCUUUCUGCCACAAUCAUUUGCAUGCAUAUUAUAUUUCAAACUGUAGCAUGAAAUAAGUUUGCUAAUAAAACCUCGAUCCGUCGCACAAAGACGCCCUUAGGUAGCUCGACACGUUGAGUACUUUCCAACUUGUUUUAAUAGAACGCCCUGCGUAUUUUACGCUAAAAACGCAGCACAUUAAAUUCUAUUGUUAAAAAUAUAACAAGAAAAAAUUUAAAAAAAUGAA
This is a long non-coding RNA of Photinus pyralis (common eastern firefly), 1424 nucleotides long. RefSeq lists it as uncharacterized. The record is from RefSeq and is a predicted model, not a curated record. Lineage: Eukaryota; Metazoa; Arthropoda; Insecta; Coleoptera; Lampyridae. The transcript is spliced from 3 exons.